RNA transcript from Oncorhynchus kisutch (coho salmon), 4554 nucleotides. It is a transcript of the gene named RUN and FYVE domain containing 2, with no coding region annotated. The record is from RefSeq and is a predicted model, not a curated record. The transcript is spliced from 18 exons. NCBI's taxonomy places the organism in Eukaryota, Metazoa, Chordata, Actinopteri, Salmoniformes, Salmonidae.
GCUUUUGUUUUGUGAGCGUUUUUGACACCACCCUACGGACUUGAGGGAUUCAGCUUCAGUAGGGUGUAAACAAAUCUCUACACUACGCCGAAUAAGGGAUCAUUUGUUAUUGAUGACUGUGAAAGCGGACUUCACUCGUAGAAUGUAGACGAAAUGUGUUGUACAUUAAAGGGUUGGCAUUGGAUCAUUUAGCAAUGUUAUCCCAAACAUUUGUGCAACAAUGGUCGCCAGGUGAAUUGUCCAUAACCAUAUGAUAUUUCGACGAUGGCGACACCUGCAGAGCAAGACCUUGCAUUAGCUGAAGCAGAAAGCAACAAGGAGAAGUCUCAAGUAUUUGGAAUCCUUAGGUUACAGGAAGAAAAAUCGGCCGGUGAAAAAGCUAGCACCACGACCAUGAUGGCAGGGGAUGGGAGAUGGCAGGCGCCCAUAUUUGCCCUAGCCAGGAAAGCAUCGGAGACCUUUUCAGGAAGCAGCAGUCAUGUUCUGGCAAAGGUAGCGGAACCCACAUCUUUUGUAAACGAAUGGAGUGUCCCAGCUCUGCGGGACCCUAUGUCGAUGGAGAGAACUAACCUGCUGAACAUGGCCAAGCUCAGCAUCAAAGGCCUGAUCGAGUCGGCCCUCAGUUUUGGACGCACCCUGGACUCCGACUACCCUCCACUCCAGCAGUUCUUUGUUGUCAUGGAGCACUGCCUCAAACAUGGCCUCAAAGUGAAGAAGUCCUUUCUUGGAUACAACAAGUCACUGUGGGGUCCUCUGGAGAUGGUGGAGAAGUUGUGUCCUGAGGCAGGAGAGAUUGCAGCCAGCGUCAGGGACCUACCAGGACUAAAGACUCCACUGGGCAGAGCUCGGGCCUGGCUGCGUCUGGCCCUGAUGCAGAAGAGGCUGGCUGAUUACCUCCGCCUUCUGAUCACCAGAAAGGACCUGCUGAGUGAUUUCUAUGACAACUCUGCUGUGAUGGUAGAGGAGGAGGGUGCUGUCAUUGUUGGCCUGCUGGUGGGACUCAAUGUGAUCGAUGCCAACCUGUGUGUCAAGGGCGAGGACCUGGAUACACAGGUUGGGGUCAUUGACUUCUCAAUGUACUUGAAAAAUGACAUUGAUGACUACAGAAGUGGAGAAAGAAAUGGUCAAGUAGCAGCCAUCCUAGACCAGAAGAACUAUGUUGAAGAAUUAAAUAGGCAGCUUAAUUCUUCAGUACACGGCUUACAAGGGAGGGUCGAUAACUUGGAGAAAUCGAACUCUAAACUCAUUGAGGAGCUGGCGAUUGCAAAAAAUAACAUAAUCAAACUGCAAGAGGAGAACCAUCAGCUUAGAAAUGAGAACACUAUUAUUCUCAUAAAAGCUCAGCAGCAACUUGAGGUGACCCAGGUUGACGUGGAUGUGGAGCUGGACACCUAUAAGCAGUCGAGGCAGGGCCUUGACGAGAUGUACAACGAGGCCAGGAGACAGCUCAGGGAGGAGUGUCAACUACGCCAGGAUGUGGAAAAUGAGUUGGUGGUACAGGUGAGCAUGAAGCAGGAGAUGGAUCUGGCCAUGAAACUGUUGGAAAAGGACAUUCACGAAAAACAGGACACACUGAUCGGCCUGCGCCACCAGCUGGAUGAAGUCAAGGCCAUCAAUGUGGAAAUGUACACAAAAAUGCAGACUUCUGAUGAUGGCAUGAAACAGAAGAAUGACAUAAUCACUCGUUUGGAGGAGAAGACCAAUCAAAUCACAGCAACCAUGAAACAGCUGGAGCAAAGUGAUAAAGAUUUGCUGAGCCAGACACGCACACUCGCCAUGUCAUUUGUAAAAUGUGCCAGCACAGACACUGAGAACCAAUACAAGCUUGUUAAAGACAUCUCUUUCUGAGCUUUUAAACACAACCACUAACUCUCAGUAAACACUAGGCAGGGGAUUUGUUCAUAUGCAGUAUCGUAAAGUAACAGUUCAUUGGUUUUUGUAUCAGUCUGUUGAGAUAAGCUUCUUUCACAAAAUGAAGUUUUGUAGUGCAUCCCAUUAUUGUGGUGUGUAAUAACUAAUACACUCAAACAUAUCUGUAAGAGCAAAUACUAUACUCAUUAUAGCCAAUAAAAAGUAUAACAAUUGUUUAUCACAUGACACAAUAAAGUUAAAUGUUUUGAAAUUGUGGUUGUGGAAUGAUGAAAUCAUUGGCAGCACCAUUACGUUUGUCUUUGAGUGUAGUGAACACACCAUCUUUAGCCCCAUGAGUGUGUUCAUGGAAAUGUUAAACUGGCCUGCCACUGCCUGGCCAUCUUCCCUCCAAAGGGGCCUGCCUGCCUGUAGGUGUUUGGUCUUCCCUUUUUCUUCUGCCAGUUUGUCCCAUUGCAUCCCAACCCCUUGUACCCCCUUUUCUUUGUGAUUGGAGCCUCAGUUUUACCCAGUUGGUUUGAAUUACACCAGAUUACAAGAGGCAGAGCGGGACCGCUGGACUGCAGAAGAUGGAGCUCGCAAAUUCAAGCAUGACUUUGCCAACAAAGCCGACAGCCUCCAAAAGCAGAUAGCCCAGAGAGAGAAACAAAUGCUGCAGCUGGAGACAGACCUAAAGAUUGAGAAGGAGUGGCGGCAAACCUUACAGAACGACCUGGAGAGGGAACGAGACAUCGUCGCCCAGCUUAGUGCUGAAGCCCAACAAAUAAAUGGACUUAAAAAGGAGUUCCACAGGCUGCAGGAUGAGAACAGCCAGCUGAAGGGGAUUUGUGAAGAACAGGAGCAGGCCCUGGAGGAGUUAGGCUGCAAACUCAGCGAAUCAAAACUUAAAAUCGAAGACAUAAAAGAGGCAAAUAAAGCUCUUCAGGGAGGGCAGGUCUGGUUGAAGGACAAAGAUGCUACCCACUGUAAACUUUGUGAGAAGGAGUUCUCCAUCUCUAGGAGAAAGCACCACUGUAGAAACUGUGGGGAGAUCUUCUGCAAUGCCUGCUCUGACAACGAGCUGCCCCUCCCUGCCUCACCAAAACCAGUGAGGGUCUGUGAUACGUGCCACGCCCUUCUCCUCCAACGCUGCUCCUCCAAUGCCACGUGAGAUGCCCCCCUUCAGGCCCAGCCGCAGCUUUAACUCAAUUCCCCGCAGCUCAGACUACCAGGAAACCUCUGAGCUCAUGUGACUGUUAUCACAUGUCAAGUGUGUACAUUCUACAAGGUAUAUCGCUUUGUGUAGCAUGAGAUUUGAGAUGUUAUAUCUGUGACACUAAGGUUCUUGUGAUAAAUGUCAACAUUCCCUUAUAAUAGAUAAACCAUUUGGGCAGCUGAGCAUAUCAUUCCAAAUCUGCAGUAAGAAUAUCUUGAUGAGACAAUUUUAAAGUAUGUUUCUCUGUGUGACACAGUGGCUGAGCCUGAUGUGAUAAGGACUGGAGUCAUAUUUUUUGUUUUGAGUCAUGUUAUUUCACUUGAACGGUCUGAAAGGAUGAGUACAUUUUUGUUGUUGACCAAAUCUCUUUUUUAUUUACAUUUGUGUGCUUUCUCAUUCCCAUUAUGGUGAGAACCUGGGAAUGCUUGAACACGGAAAGUAUCACUCGAGGUUAACAAAAUGGAAUAACAUUGUGGAUAAAGUUUAAUGACACUUUUGUGUACAACAUCUAAAGAAAUGCAUCACUAUACUGAGUGUUGUCAUUUCCAAAAAUAUAUAUGUUUUUGGAGCUGUUUUAUCUGUGCCCCUGCAACUGUAGAAAGAGCACGAGGAAAUAUCUUGCUGGUGGGGUUUCUCAAAACCAAGUGAAAUCGCAAAAGAAGUGGCUGAACACUUCUAUAGCAUGCUAUUUACAAAAAAAGAGAUUUGGUUAUACAAAGUGAACUUCUUCUCCUAUAACUGAUGUAAUUCACAUGUGCCUCUAAUAAGCCAAAAUACUAAAUGAGUACCUUUCAGACUUGUUUCUGCAUGGUAGAAUGCAGGCACAUUUCAGAAGUAUGUUUACCAAAAGCACUGUUCCUGAUACUGCUUUGUGACAAAUAAGCAGAGACUACAAGACAGAGCAAAUGUAUGUUGUACUUUUGAUUAGGUAGGCCUAAUAAAUUAUUACCUUAAGUAUUCAAAUACAGUAUCUAGCUAACAAUUCAGUUUGGAAACAUGCCAAUUGUAUUUCUUUUCAGAGACUAAUCAGGCAAGUUAAAAAACUUGGAUCACUAAGUGGCAAGAAAUUUGAGAUGCACUAAUUCGUGUAACCACUUAUACACUUGCUGGAUUUUGUUUUGUAUUCAAUCAGCAAAGCAAUGUUUACAAUAUAUAAUUUUACAAAACUGGAAUUAAUACUUUAUUACAAAUGGAUGUCCUACAUCUCACAUAGAUGAUCAAAACAUACUGUGUGCAGUAUGUUUUCAAUAUAUUGUCUUGUUCACUAGAAACCAGUUACUUUGCAAAGCAUUAAUUCAUGUUGCCAAUCAUGUCAUUUUGACUAUGAAAUUUAAAGUGAUUGAACGGGAUCUUAAGCAUUUACAAAUAUGUAACACAUACGGAUUGCAGGAUUUUUUCCCCCAUAGUUUUGCUGGACAUAAAAUAUGAAAUGGAUGUAGUACACAAUAGCGGACAUGAAUAAAGAUGGCGUCCCCCAUCUACUUACAGAA